AGGACACCAACUUGGCGCUGAGCGGGCUCCUGGACGGGAUCGUGGCGGAGCGGGCUGCGCUGCCGGAGCUCGAGAGGGGGCAGAAGAACUUCCUCUCGGUGCUGCUCAACGCCAGGGAGAGCACCGAGGCCUUGAGGAAUGUGUUCACGCCCGACUACGUGAGCGCGCUCACGUACGAGCACCUGCUCGCCGGGGCCGUCACCAUGUCCUUCACGCUCUCGAGCCUCGUGUACCUGGUGGCCGCGCACCCGGAGGUGGAGGAGAAGCUUCUCCGGGAGAUCGACGCGUUCGGGCCCAAGGACGUGGUGCCCAGCGCUGAGGAGCUCCACAACAAUUUCCCCUACCUAGAGCAGGUAUAUAUGACGUCUAGCUACAGUAUGUUUUAAUUAACGAUUAAACCUGAAUUUUGAAGCUAAUUAAACCCUAAACCUAAUAUAUAGGUCUUGAAGGAGACCAUGAGAUUUUUCACCGUGUCUCCGCUAAUUGCAAGGGAGGCAUCCGAAGAUGUUGAAAUUGGAGGCUAUCUCUUGCCCAAGGUAUUAAUUCUUUAUCUGCAUUCCACGAGGUCCUCAUUAGUACAUCUUUAUCAAGUUUUGCAUCCGACAAAAAUUCCCAGAAAGCACGACUUUUUUAUUACGAAAUAAGCUACUCCCUCCAACCGGUCUUGUCUCAAAUUUAUCCAAAUACAGAUGUAUCUAUAAGUAAAAAACGUCUACAUAUAUGUAAUAUUUUUACAAGUAAUUCCUACCGGCCGGAGGGAGUAGCAUUUAUGCUCCUCGAUCGACUAAUGUGUUGGUUCUACAAGUCAAAUUUCUUAGUACAUCAUUGUUUGUUUGUACAUUCCCAACAACAAUUCUGACAACCCACAAUCUGGUGCAAAUUAAUGUAUGCAAGGGCACAUGGAUAUGGUUGGCACCAGGCGUGCUAGCAAAAGACCCGAAGCAGUUCCCGGACCCUUAUGUGUUCCGUCCCGAGAGGUUCGAUCCUGAGAGCGAGGAAUGCAAGCAGAGGCACCCCUACGCCUUCAUCCCCUUUGGCAUUGGUCCUCGGGCAUGCAUCGGACAGAAGUUCUCCAUGCAGCAGCUCAAGCUCGUCGUCGUCCACCUCUACCGCCAGUACGUCUUCAGGCACUCACCAAAUAUGGAGGCCCCCCUUCAGUUCCAGUUCUCCAUUGUUGUCAACUUCAAGCACGGUGUCAAGCUCCAUGUCAUUGAGAGGAAUGCAUGAUGUGUGUGCGACAAGUGGCGUACAAUAAGCAUGCCAAAUGGACUGCAUAUAUAGGGCCUGUUUGAUUUACAACCAAAAGUAGCCUCACCAAAAAAUUGUCUUGCCCAUGAAAUUUGGUUGGUGUUUGGAUGGACUCCAAAAUUUUGGCUCGCCCAGCCCAUCUGGGGCGCGCCCGUGCGUUUCCACGCGAAGUAUUGGCGAGUCGAGGGCAAUAAAAAGCUCCGCCAAAGAAUUGACAACGCCCCUCACCCUCUAAUCUCUGGUGGCCCACAACCCGUUCUUCUCAAGGGGUGCCUAACGAACACAGAAAAAUACGGUUUCCGGCCGCGCGUGUAUCUCCACACCGAUCGCUUUUCCGUUUUUCUUGUAUCUUUCUCCUCCUUUUCCUCUAGCUAAGCACACCAUGGGUCGAAUCAGAGCAGAAAUAUCAAAGGAACAGGUGCUUUUGCUCUGUGAAAAAGCGAAUCGGUGCAUCAAAGAGAAAGUUCAGCAAACUUUUACAACUGUCUCGAUCCACUACUCUGAUCGAUCAGUUACUUCUAGAUCUACCUCGAGAAUAAAUAAGUGGUUCAUGCUAAAAUUUUACGAGAAAUAAUUGUAGCACGAUUAUUAUAAGUUUGAGUUAAGUUGGCUGCAAACCAAAUGUGGGAAUAAAAAGUUUGCCAAAAAGUUGGCAUUGCAAUGGUAGCAAUCCAAACAACACCCUCUUACCAAAGGUCAUGCCCUUGUUUUGAUCAUGCCAAAAUUUGCCAAAAAAAAAUGGUGGGGCUGAUUGGGGCUCCAAACAUAACCUGGUUUAGAGCCAAUAUGUACCAAGCCAAUUUUUUGGUGUUGUUUGGAUGAUUGCCAACUUUUUGGCUUGCCAAUGUUACUUUGUCAGUUCACUUUUUUUUUUUGUUAAAGUUGGCCAAAUCAUGAGGAAACAAAAGAACAAUCAAAUUUUGACAGAGCGAUGAUGGCUAAAACCAACCAGCCCCUGAUUUACAAGUUGGGGGUGGAGGAGCUGCUUCCCGGCCUUGACUUGAAUUCCUCUGCUAGCUGCUGUCCAGACAGAGUGAGUCUAGUCGUGUCUUGUCUUCUCAUGUGGGUUUGGCUGAGCCUGAGCCUGAGCCUGAGGGCAGUCGAGUUCAAGUCUGGACUCAUGACUUGGUUGAGUCCAACUCAUACUCUUUGCUCGCUGCAUGCACACAGGUCAAACCAGACAGAAAUCCCCAAAUCCACAGAAUCGAUCAUUGCAUCAUCGUCUUGGAUCGAGCAGCAGCCAAGCCAUGGCGGCACAAGACUCUUCCUCCGGCGACACAAGGCUGAGAUCCGCUCUCACGGUGAGCGCCGACGACCGCGCGCGCCUCCACGCCCUCUUGCAGGACUCUCCGUCUCCGGCUCCGGCUCCGGCAGCAGCGAACAAUACUAGUCAACAUCAUGUGGCAAGCUUCUUCGAGGGGUUGGCGCUGCGAGGGAUCCGCGUCCUCAGCAUCCAGCCAGGCCUCAUCCGCUGCUCCUACACCGUCCCAAACCACCUCACAGUAUGUGCUUUCAUCCCUUCUUCUUCAUCCAACCUUUUCCAUUUCUCUCGCCUCACCAAAACACACAACACGGCACGCAGGACGCCGCCACGGGCUGCCUGGCCGCCGGCGCCGUGGUGUCCCUGGUGGACGAGGUCGGCUCGGCGGCCGCCAUCGCCGACGCGCAGAACCUCAAGGUCUCCGUCGACAUGUCCGUCGCCUUCGCCGACCUCUCCCAGGCGCGCCCGGGGGACAAGCUCUGCAUCGUCGCCAGGGCCUUGGGGCACAAGGGCGCCUACUCCGGGACGCACGUGCUCUUCACCAACGCCGGCAAUGGCCGCGUCGUCGCCGAGGGCAGGCACUCCCUCUUCGGCAACAUGAAGAAGAAGACUACAACUCCUGCUCCUGCUCCUGCUGCUCACACCAGGAGCAACAUGUGAUGUAUCAUCUACUGCGUAUCUACUACUAAGCUCAUUCAUCAUGUAUGUAUUCUGUAAUGCUUAUCUACUACGUACGAAUUAGCUCAUUCAUCAUGUACUGUACUACUAUAACCCUGCAGUUUGAGCAUACCAACUAGCAAGCAUUUCCAGUUCCUGUUGUAAUAACAAUGAUAAAAGAUAACAACCACCAGAGGACAUCAUCAAACAGUUAAUUGCAUUCCUUCUGGCUCAUCAUCGUCAUCACACCAGAAUAUUGUCUGCUGAGGCUAAUGUUUUGUCCAUCCACCACAAAAUAAGAACUACUUUCAGAUCCAGAAUUCUAUUUUGGGUGCUAUGAAUAACCCACUACAGAUUUUAUUACAGUUGCGCUGUCAAAUUUUAACCCUUUUGUUGCCGAUUCUCUCAAGGGGAAAACUUCCUCUGCGAAAAAUAAAUGUGCAAAGUCUUUCUUCUUGUAUACCACCACCACCCAGGCACCCACUACAAAAAUCGGACAUCUUCUAGUUUCCAGGCUUCCUCACAAACGCCUUUUGGACCUGCACAGGUACAGCACAAAACAAGUUAUUCUACAGUCCAUUUGACAUGCUUACAUACUUCCACUGUGAUAGUUAUCAACUUGUUUACCUGCUCCAGUGUCAAGAACAUAAUCACAUUCCAUGAUCCCAGCCUAGCAAAGUUUGGAAGGAAGCCUUUGUAAAAUGCCAGAGGUCCCUGCACACACAACUCCUACGUAUUAGCAACCUGCUCCGACUUACUUUGCAUUCAACGGGUAUAUAACUAAAUCAGUGCCUGGGAGCCAGGGAUGUCCAGAAUAUUCACUUCACAGAUAUCACCGAGUAUACCAUUCACAAAGCAUAGCUCAAGAGAUACUUAAGCAAUUUGAUACACACAGUGGAGAACAGUAUCAACAUAUUGUGCAGUGCAGAAUUAAGCUUGACAUGCCAUCAUUAAUUGACAUAAAUAAAGAGUUAAAUGUUAGGAGAUGAAAAUAACAUAACUCCUACAAUGUGCUGUCGCGGACAGAAAGCUGUAUAGGUACACGGUGAUAUAUAAACAACGGAGUUCCCAUGAUGACAUGAUUGCUUGGAUAUAAAAAGGCUGUUGAUCUGUUCAAUUUCAAGAACCACCAGAAGGCUGUCACUAUUUCAUGAUGACAACCUUCAGGCCAGUUAAUUCGAAGAGAGUAUGCAUAAGUGGCCAAUGAAUUAUCUACUCUAAUACCAUACUACAAAUGAAUAUCAAUAUGAAACUGUGAACUGUAUAAGCAAAUGUGUCCUAGAUGCUAGAUGUGUUUGAAAGAAACUGUUAUAUAUAAGUACUCUCAUCUAAUUCUGACUCAAAAGAUAAAAGUCAUGAACAACAGGGUAGAACAUACAUCAUUUUUUAAGGUCUGCACAAAGCAAUCGACAGUACUCUUGUAAGCUGAGUCACCCAUCAUUCUUGACUUAACCUGCAGGAAGGUGUGUUCAAAGGUUGUGUUACCCCAACAGUGUAAAGAGAAACCAUGUUUGCACAUCUACAAUGCAAGAAUUCAACAGUACAGAAUACUUAAUUGAUAAUGACCAGACAGCAACGAAGAAGCUUCUAAUUGCACAAAGAAAGACGAACAUCCAGGUUUCAUAGAAAAACAGUCUUUAUGCAGGCAAAUUAGCAUUCAGUAGUCAUGGAUGCAACCACUAAAGUCAAAGGCAAAAAUCUGCAGAACGGCAGAACUACAAACCACACAAAGACAGAACGGCAGAACUACAAACCAUUGUUGAGUUACUCCAACAGUGUAAAGAGAAACCAUGCUUGCAUAUCUAUAAUGCAAGAAUUCAAUAGUACAGAAGACUUAAUUGUCGAUGACAAGACAACAAGGAAGAAGCUUCUAAUUGUAAAAAGAAAGACCAGGAUCCAGGUUUCAUGGAAAAACAGCCUUUAUGCAGGCAAAUUAGCAUUCAGUAGUCAUGGAUGCAACCAUUAAAGUCAAAGGCAAAAAUCUGCAGAACGGCAGAACUAUAAACCACACAAAGACCGGACUAAGAAAACAGCUAUGCGGAAAGACAAUGAAUACGUCAUGAAAUUGCAAGAUGUGAUGGGCAGAAUAAAGGCCUGUAGUGAAAUAUCUUAGUUUAAACUUGGAAUGGUCUACUAUUCACCAUCACAUACCACCAUUGCUGAUAUAAACUACUUGGUUUACUACCGAGUGGAUGAAUACACCAACAAAGCAUGGCUCAGAAGAAGUCAUUUACAGCUGGUCAUCUGGGUAAUAAUGUUUCAGACUAGAUCACUACAGUAGGGAUAGGAUAAUUGCUCACUGAGCAGAGCAGGGAGGACAUCUCACCACAUCGACUGGAGAACCAACACAAACAGCAAAGAAGCCAGCGCCCAAACCAGACAAGAUAUGAGUCACCACAUCAUCUUUGAACCCAGGAAGUUUCAGAAUGGUCUGCAACAAUAAGCGACGCAGUUUACGUCAGCAAGAGAGACAAGGAACCAACCAAUAAGAGACAUCAUGACAAGAAGCACACCUGCUUCACUUGAUCAUAGCUGGCCAACUCGGCAGCGUUGAUGAUGGCGUUACGUGCGACGUUCGGACCUAUGCCAGUCCACAAAGCGGCAACCCCUUCCUAAAGUAAAGACGACACAGUCAAACAUACAUAUAGAUGUUGAAGCAAGCAAUUCAGGAAAGUGUAACAGCAAUCCAGCAGUUGGCUAGAGCAGAAGGCAACAGACCUGCCUAACAAUCUUGGCGUAAGCAUCCAUUGCCCCAGCGUAGCGGCGCGGCAUGCCGGGCGCGAGCUUCCCCUCGGACUGAAGCCUGACCUUGACGAGGUCAGUGGGGUUGGCCACAGCGAUUGCAAGGGCACCUGAUGAACAAGAAGAAAAGCACGGAUGUCAGUGAUUAUGCUGCAUUGCAGUUGGAAGGAAGAAUUGGCUUGAUCGAGGGAUGGGGUAAGGUAAGCAACCAGUGGUGAAGCCAGCAGCGAUCUUCUUGGACAAGGGCACAUCCCCGACAUGGUUUUCCCCAACGUAGAAGGACUUGACCUGAAAGGAAGGGAAGCAAAGUCGGUCGCUGUCAGGCAGAGUUGAUUGUCUGGUAGCAGCAGCUAGAAUGGGAACGAGAUAGAGACAAGGGGGUUGGGGAAGAAGGGGAAGGAACGUACGGGCUCGUAGAGACCGAUGCGGAGGCCGCCGUAGAUGCACUGGCGGUGGAGGCCGGGUACGAUGCCCUUCCAGAGCGCGGCGGCCCCUUCCUCCCUGGCGAUGGUGGCGGCGGUGCCGAGCAGGCCGCGGUACUUGAGCCCCCCCGCGACGUCCCCCGCCACGGCCUUCUUCUGCAGCUGCAGCCUGACCUUGGCCGUGUCCAGCGGGAUGGUGGUGAUCUGGGCACACCAGGGAGAAAUCCCCGUGAGAUUCGGAAAUCCGAGCAAGGCAGGGAGAAGAAGAAGGAAGAAGGAGAUCCGGCGGCUGGUUGGGGUUUAGGGUUGGUACCUCGGCGAAGCAGGCGGCGAUGGCGCUGGCGGUGAAUCGGCCGGCGAAGGAGAUGUCGGGCUUGGAGCCGUGGUCCGGCGCCAUGGCUUCGGCUUUGCCUGGCGGUGGCAGCAAGCGAGAGGAAGACGGCGAUCAACUCGGACAGGGACAAGGAAGGCAGGGAGAGAGAGAGAGGAGAAUGGGGGGAAGAAGAAUCAAACCUCAAGGAAGGAAGAAAAGAAAAAGAAGAAAGCAGAGCAGCUUUCCUUUUGCGUUUGCGUUUGCGUUUGCUCUCCACGAAUUCUGGGCUGGCUUCUCUGCCUCUGGCUUGUGCUUAUUAAUUACCUGCAGCAGAGAGCAGAUUUACGGGCGAUUUUAUUCUGAUUAAGGAUCGAUGCGAUGAGUCAGAUGCGCAUCACCUUCUCAAUCCAUCCAUCCACUAGCCUGCCUGGCUGACUACUUACUACUAGCACAAUUUCCCUUCCUUUGAACUCUGCUGCUGAUGAUGAUGAUGUUGAUCAAUCCAUCCUGAGUCCUGAGUUCCUGAUUCAACGGUCUCCUCUGCAGCAGGCCUGCUGCUCCUUUCGUUGCCCUCUUUUUGCAACAAAGAGUUGAACACCUUUUGUUCAGAAACAGAAAAUCUUAAAACCUGAAACACAGUUCAUUUAGAUAUUGCUCUUCUUCUUUUUGGGGGUAGAGGCAGAACAAGAUUUUCAGGGGUUUUUUCUUUCUUCCAAACUAGCUAGCUAGCUAGCUAGUAGUAGUAGUAGUAGUAGUAGUUUUCUUCGUACAGACAAAGAGAUUGGCACCUUGGAAGCAAAUCAGGCAGUGCUUUUUGGCACAUGAUUUGGAGGGGGUGGUACAGGCAUGUCAUCCAAUUCCAAUUCAUUUGGUGCUACCUACUUGGCAGAAUAAAGGGGAGUGCAUAUGCUGCUAGCUGAUUUUGCUGCUGAAUUUCACUAUAUCUGUCCACCACAAAUUAAAAGGGCCCUACCACUCUUCUAGGGAGCUAUAUUCACUUAGCUGGUAACAAACUAAAGGUUUGUUCAAAUUGUUGUAAGUAAUAUUCUAAAUGCCACUUUUUUUUUCUUAAAAGCGUUGGUGAUAUUGAAACGUUGAUGGGCUAGUUACUGCUGAGAGAGAAUGCAUUAUGUUUCAUGGGCUGGACCAUUCUUUCUUUUCCUUCGUAUAGUGCUGAGGUAGGGGGGUUUUUUUGACAGGCAAGAGGGAGGGAUUUUUUUAUUUUUUUUUGAAAUGCAAGAGGGAGGGAUUUGUUACAUUGUUGUAAUCUGCAAAAUGAAAAAAAAAUGUUCCUCUAUUUCUUCUCUAUUUUUUUUGAGAAAUUCCGCUCUUUCUUCUUAAAAAGCUGCUGGUGAUACUGAAACAUUGAUGGGCUAGUUAGUGGUGAGAGAGAAUGCAUUAUGUUCAUGGGCUGGACCAUUACUUCUUUUCCUAGCAAGCCUGGCCCAUUCAUUCUCGCAGACAAUAACCUGUUUUCUUUUGACCAUCCAAAGUUCUACUUUUGGUAAAGCAAAUGUGGACCUUUGAAACUGGAGCACCAUCCUGCGUCACCGAAUAUUCCCUUCACUGGCCCAUGCCCAACACUUGGAACAUAAACUUUUGCACUCAGUUCCAUAUCAGCAAUCCUCAAUUCAUUCCGUUUCACCGUCAAAGCCUAGAUUCAGCUAAACAGUUCAGUAGCAGCUAUCAGUAUUACACUAGCAGGGCGUAACGCUGUCUGGCCGGCUAGCUAUUGUUGUCGCCGCUAAUAACACAGUACAGAUGAUUAAUUAAUAAAAACUGCAGAAACCAAAGGACCAGCUAGCUAGCUAAUCAUAUAGCUGCACACACACACGCACACAUACGGAUGCACCACCACACAGAAGAGAACAGAGCAGUUCAAUUUGUUGGUCACUGAUCCUGGAUCUGCCAUCAGUCAGAAAACUCAGAUAAACCUCAGUAGAUCUAGAUCAGACAUCGGCAAAGAGAUGGUACGUCUUGGAGUCGACGGCGAUGAGCCUGAGCGCGGCGAUGGCGGCGGCGACGGCCAAGACAGUGAACCCGACGACGUUGAACCAGUGCCAUGCCUUCCUCAGCGACGAGAGCCUGUGCCCGUUGGCCACCAGGUACAUGUGGUUGGCCAGCACGAAGGUCAGCGGGAACGUGCUGAGCGCCCCGGUCAGGCUCAUGAAGUCCCCCAGGAACGGCAGCGCCGCGGCCACCAGCGUGUUCACGGCCAGAUAGCCUCCCCUGACGCCCACCCUGAACACCACGUUGUGCGCCGCGAAGGGACCGCCCCGCCCGCUCCCAAACCUCGUGUCCAGGUACUCGUACAUCGGCGACGCAAAGAUCUGCACAUCGAAGAACAUAGAAACAUGAUCUGGUGAACUGGUUCUGUGCAUGAAACUCUUUACUUUUACUGGAAAAAAAAACUUGUAACAACAUGUGUAUAGAUACUUACGUGUAGGGCGAUGACGGUCUGGAGGAAGGCGGCGAGGUUGGCGACGGCCUUGACCCAGACAGGGCCAUGAACACUGUUGAGCAGAUAGCUGGACGUCUCGUUCCCAUAAGCCCAGUACCCAAUGAAAAUCACGGCAUACAACGGCACGGAACCGGCCGUGAACUGCAACCACAGCGCCUUCUCCAUGUUCUUCACCACAGGCGGCUUGAUCGUCGCCUGGAUCUCCGGCAACAUCCCGGUGUUAUACGCAAACACCAAGCUCGCCGAGGCCCCGAUCGUCGUGAACACCCGGCUCGACGGGUCCCCGGGGAUACUAUAAUCCCUCGCCGGCGCCCGGGCCCCGUCCCUCAACGCCAGCACGCACGCCGCCACGAUGUAGAUCAAGCUGAAGGCCGUCGAGAAGAGCAGCCAGACACGGAGCGCCGAGAGGUAAGGGAUGCCGACGGCGAAGAGCGUGCACACGAAGCCGGAAAUGACGAUGCAGUAAGGGAGCUUCAGGGCGCCGUCGUCGCGGAUGAGGAGGUAGAGGGCCUUGAGUGCCUGGCCGGCGAGGAUGACGAAGCCGAUGUUGAUCAUGAAGAGGUUGACGUACUGCAUCGCCCAGGUGACGCGGUACAUCCUGGCGCCGUAGAUGUGGCCGGCGAGGUCCCGGUACCGGAUGUGCCGCUUGCCGCCCAGGAGGUGGAGCUUGGCGAGGAGCGCGUUGGCGUACAUGGAGACUCCGGCGGCGAUGAGGAGCCCGAUGGCGCCGCCGAUCCAGCCCAGGGGCACCAUGAGGGAGCCGGAGUAGCCCAGCACGUAGGCGCUGUUCACCCCCGUCGUCAGCACGAACCCUGCCUGGUACCAUGGAUCUGUGAUAUGUUCAUCAUCGUCAGUUAGUUCAUCAAGCAGAUUGUUAAGCCAUGGAGAAUUCAUCCAGAUUGAAUCAAGUUAAGCCAUCCUAAUUUUUUCUUUUUCAGUUCAUCAAGCGAUUAGCAUGUCAAGUGGUCCAAAAUCUUGUUAGGUACAGUACUGUGCGAAAAUCUGCAUCAACGACUGACGUGACACGUGCACCAUCCUCCCCUGCUUAAUUAACAUGUGCUGCCUGGAGUAUCACUUAGUAGUGGGUUUAGUAGUACACACAAAAAAAAAGGAUUAAAGGAGUAGUACUAGUCCUAGAUACAACCUGGCUGAUGUGCUGUCAGUGAACAUGAAGUAUGUACUUUGGCUCCACACGGAAAGACAAAAUAGGUAUGUAUAUGUUGGCAGUAUGUAUCGUCGUCGGUCAAACCAGCUAAGCUAGCGGCCCAAAAACAGAGACGUUGGGGGUGACGCAAUGGUAACGGAAAGCCUAGGAAGCGUAUGGAUACAAUGGUUACGGCUCAAAUGAUUAGAAAUAUCCAAGAAAAAGAUGAAGAGAUUAUGAGCUCUCCUACGUCAUGGUGGCUCAUAGAUAGGAAGAUAAGUAGAUUGGUGGGUUCUCUAUGACUUGACCAACCUAAAAUUGAUGCACGGAUGGAUGGAUAAAGACGAUGGGGAUUAACAAAGAAGAACAGGAGACCAUGGUCGCCCUAAUUUCUUUUCAGAGGAAUUGAACAAGAAAGCAAGGAAGAAAGAAAGAACAAUCAGAUAGACUGAGAACACUGAUGAAUUAAGUAAUCAAUCAUCUGCAGCGUUUUGUAGGACGGACGGACGGACGUACCGACGCCAAUUUGGUGUGUGGUGUCAUCGGCGGAGAGAGGCAAGUCCUCCUCGUUCUUGGCGACGCCGUCUUCCACCAUGAACACCUUCGUCUCCGGCACCGGCUCCGGUGCCGUCAUGGCCAUGGCUAAUUACCUUAACAAGCAAGGAAUUGAGAUGGAACCGGAAUGGAAUUGAGUAGAGGUAGCAGGGCAGGGCAGGGCAGGGGAGAGCAGAGGGAGGAUGGGCAGAGGGGAGUUGAGGUGUGUUGUUAUUUAUAGGAGGAGAUGAUGGAGGACUGCGUGGUUUGGCAUGGCCGCCGACGACUAUAUCAAAUUAUUUAUUACAUUCCAUACAUGCGUGCGUCAUGUUUAUUUUUUUUUAUUAAAUAGUUACUCCAUGGCUAGCAGCUAGCCAGCUACUUCCACUUUUUCAUGCACAGGCAUUUUGAGGUUAAACUAAUUUUGAUCAACGAUAAGACCAAUGAUAUAUAUGUAGAGUCAAUGUUAUAAAUUUUAUAUCGUUGGAAAUGUUUUUCAAAUACGAAUCUAAUAAUAUAAGUUUUGUAAUACUUAAACCUCAAAACGUUAGUCUAAUUGUUGGUUAAAAUAAAAUUUUGAAUGUCUGUGUCAUCCUUUGUGGAAAGGAGAAAGUCAUUAAUUAUUACUCCCUCUGUUACUAAUUAAUAGGCGUCAGAAAUUUCGCAAAAGAACCUUUGCUAUUUUCCAAAAUCGACCUGCAGUCCAGUCCACGUUCUACCAAAACUUUUGCAAAAAAAUCACUGUAGUUUUUCAAAAUCAACUGCAGGUUGAUUUGGUAAAUUAGUAGAAUUUUUUUUGCAAAAAAUGAUUAGCAUCAAUUAAUUGGGAACGGAGGGAGUAUUUUUCUGGCUAGCCAGCUAAUGGAGUAUUAAUAAGCUUUUUUAUGUCUUGAUUUCAAUCACGUUUUCUUUUCUCCACGCGCACCGGAAUAAUAUAAAGAAAUUCACUGCUCCUUUUCCUCCCAUAAUCAGUCGCGAUCAGACGAAAAAAGAAAGCAAAAGAAAUACACUAGUACUGCUUGUAUAUGUACGAGAGAGACGCGCACUACUACUGGAGAGUAGUAGGACGCACUUGAAAUUGCAAUGCAGAGGAUCGAAGCCAGCAGCUCCAAGUACUGCCAGCCACCCCAACUGCAGUCCAAAAAUCAAGAAAGAAACAAAAACCAACAAACCGACUCUCUGCUCAUCCAUUGACCAGAAACAAUGCACUCUCUCUCCUUUUUUUUCUUUCAUUCUUGGGAGAAAAACAAAAUGAAGCUCUUAUCUUCAGGCUACUAGUAAGUCAGGGGAAAAUGGAAAGAAAAAGCAGAGCACACACAUGCAUAUGUAUCAUAUACGGCGUGUGUGUUAAUUAUUGUAUCAUAUACGGCGUGUGUGUUAAUUAUUGUACAUAUACGGCUGUAUAUACAGGCUAGGAAAAGAAUUAAAGCACAAUUUGUCUUGGGCCUCCAAUUCGAUUGGCUGGCCGGCCUCCGUCACGUCAUGUUCACGCAUCAACUUGCAGCAACAAGCAAUGUAUACAGUGAUAUAUAUAUAUCUGGAAUAUAAUGGCCAUGCUUCCAUCGAAUCCUAUAUGAUGAUGAGCUAGCCUAACUCUCAAUGAUUGAUUGAGAUUAAUAUUAUUCCGAACAAUAUAUCAAACUCGAUGCAUGAUUAAUAUUCCGAUCCAUGCAUGCACGCGAGAGCCUACCUAGCUAGCGGUACAUAUAAAAAGAGAGAAAUAUUCCGUUUUAUUCUUCAGAAAGUCGUACAAAGAAAAAGGUACACUAUAGACUAUAGUCUUUUACUUAUAUUAUAACGUGAGCGACUGGACUUUGCAUGUGUGCACACUGUACAGCUGCUACGUAGUAGCCCGAUUAUAUCGCUCUAAAGGUUUGGGAAUAAUCUCUUCUCCAUCUAAAGCUUUCCAAAGGAUUCGAAAAGGUGCAGAAGAAAGAUACUCCGUAUUAAACCUAACUUGCAAGAUGGGGAUGGGACUCACCAUUGCAUAAUUGUGAACUACAAAAUGGGCAGGCCGGCCCAUCAAAAUGCUCUAGCUAGAGGCAUUUUUAUGGGGUUAAUAAGUUAAAUAAUUUAAUUUACCCCGUAAAAUUUAUUUACCCAUUUUUUCUGGGGUAAAUAAAUUAAAUUAAGAUAAGAUAAGAAUGUAGUACCUAUAUAUACUCACUCCAUUCCUUAAUAUACGAUAUAUUAAGUUUUAAGACAAGGCUGUCCAUGUAUACUGCAUCCCAAAGUUUCGACGUUAUUGUGCGUGUCAGUGAGACGAUUUCCCACUUUCUGGUCACGUUCUCAUGUCGCCCAUUUCCCACGCAUCCCACAAGCUACCACAUACAUAUUCACAGGUAGAGAUACUACAAGCUAGCUAGUGAUCUCAUUCCACACAUAUUUAGUCUCAAUCGGUCACAUGAACAAUUGAUCGACGAUGGAGAUGCGCACGAUAAAAAGCCCUCCCCAAAGUGUUGAGUAGUGCCUUUUGUCCAUUCCACAAUUGCGGGCAGGCGCGCCAUGCAUUCGCGGACAUGCAUUGCAUGCACACACACACUACUGAACGACCAACCAACAACCUAGCGCAACCCAAUAUAUCUGCAUAUCUUAUUAUCACAUUGACUGGACUGCCCGACUAGGCUACUGAUUAGCUCUCUACUCAUUCCGUUUCAAAAACUAAGGCAGAUGACCUUUGUUGGCACAAAGUAAUUUGACCAAGUUUUGGCAAAAGAUAUUAACAUGAUGCCGUACUGUACAAGAUCAGUACACUACGAAAACGCAUUUCAUGAAAGAUCUGUUAUCGGUCCUAUAUAUUUUUCUGUUUGUGUUGUAAGUAAGAUUGGUCAAACUUUAGAAAAUUUGAUAUCGGAUGAAAUAAAAACUGGUGGAGAGAAAUUGUUUAGAAGAAGAAAACAAAUUAAUGAAGCUAGCCUCAUUUAGACUUAUAUAUACUUUUUCCGUCUGAUAUUAACUGAUUUGAAUUUGCCCAUCUAAUAUUUGGGCACUUAAUAUAUAAGUUUGCAUGAUGGAUCGUAGGAGUAGGUUUCUUUGUCUCUGUCGUUGUCUUUGUCUCUGGCUAGCUCGCAUGUGCGCCCAUACUCAGCGGUCAUCAAACGUGACUCAUGAGUGUACAUGUUAUUUCUUCCCUCUGGAACGUGCUUUGCUUCAGUAGAUUAUUAGAUUAGACCGUGCUGUCGAUUUUUGUCGUCCAUUCACUCAAUCCUUAAUUAAUCAUCACCGGGGCUAUAUACAAGUAGACAGGGGAAAACAUGCACGGAAUCGAUCUUCGGUACCAAAUGGAAGGAAGAAACGUGUUUAAUUUGUAAGCCCGAAUGCUAAAGCCCAACGACCACUACUAUAGCUAGUUUGACGCGACGGCGACAACUGGUAGGCCCAACCCACGACAUGGAAGCCCAUGCACCACAUACACACAAAAACAGGAUGGGUAUUUUCCAACCGUCCAUCUUGACUUGGAGCCCCGACACAUGCCAUAGGAGAUAUAAGCGACAAUUAGCCGGAAUUAUUUCUUUUUAACAAAUCAAUCGUUGGAAUGAUUUUUAUAUAAAAUAAGUUCCAAAAGAAGCUAACUUGAUAUAUCGGUCCAUUGAUCUCUCAUCUUACCUUUUCAAAGAUACAUCAUCCAAACGGCUCAAGCAUUUUUUGUAUCAGAUAGACAUUUAACACCUUUCGGUGCUGCAAGGGAACGCAACCUAGCUAGCUGGCCAGGGGAGAUGCAAGCCGGACUCAUGGACAAUCACACAAUGGUGGCAAUGGCAUCGUAUAGACAGAUUGUUGUCAUCUAGCUAGCUAGAUAGUGAUCGCUGUCCAUAAUUCUUGUCUUAAAUUUGUUAAAAAAAUAGAUGUAUCUGUUUUCAAAAAACUCUAUAUACAUGUAACAUUCUGAUAAGAACUAUCGAACGGAAGAGGUACGUAAUACAAGAUAUAAUAUACUCUUCUUGUUUUUAAAUUCUUGUUGUUGUUUUAAUUCAAAUUGAAACUUAAUAACCAUCGAUAAAUCGAGACGAAGACGAGAGGCACAUACCAGCUCCAAUCUGGUGCGAGGUACCAUCGGCGACAACAGGCUGCAGAUUGUCCUCUGCAUCUUCCCCAUCGUUCUUGUUCUUGGUGACGCCGUCCAACACGGUCACCUUCGUCUCCGGCGCCGGCGUGGCCAUGGCGAUCCUUCUAUCUGGCUGCCAAGAAAGGUAGCUUGGGAUAUAUCGAUCGAAAUGGAGUUUGGAUUUGGAGAGAGCAGAGCAGACCGCCGGUGAGAAAGAGGAGCCAGCCAAGGAGAGAGUCGUCUUCUUAUAGGCUGUACAUGUGGAGUCAUCGAUACUAGACUGUAGAUGACUACUGAUUUUUUUUUGGGUCGCCCUUGUCGUCGUCAACAAAUCAUAUCAAUUAAUUUAUUUUUAUUUUGUUUCCAUAUGUCUGCCAACUCAUUUAAUUAUUACUACUACACUUAUUUCUAAGACUAGCCAGACACGUUUUCUUUUCUCCACAUACGUACAUUCCAUUACAACACACCUGGCUAGCUAGCUACUCCAGGUGGAAUGGAAGGGAAUUAAUGAAGACUGCGUUCGUUAUUUUUGGGUUUUAGGACCGCCUUUUCUUAAAAGCUGUUCUAACCUAACUUUCAGGAGGAGUCGUAUAUCAGAUUUAGCUAGAUUUUUAAAAUAGUUUAAAUCAAACUAGCUUAGUAGCCUAAUCCAUUUUAGAUGAAGGCAUCUCCAGUAAGCUGUGGAAGGACAAUUUCUCGGAAAAGCCAGUUCAAGAAGCCGAAAAGAACUGACCUGUUAUCAGGUUAUCAGGGAUAGUCUAACACGUAAAAUUCGCCGCUGCAUGCUUUUUGAUCCGAUAAUAUAAUUGGUCUCAGUCAGAUGGAAAGGAAUCAAAGACGAAGUGAACUACUAUAGUAGUAUAGUGGUACUGUGAGAGAGAUGCGCACUUGAAAUUUGUCCGGCGGCUUUGAUCAGAUAUGCAGAGUCGUACGCUCCUAAAAGGGAGAGGAUCAACAUAAGAUCAGCCUCUAAUCGUGACGGCUUUGAUUCCAUUCCUGGCAACGGAUACUGCCACGCAACUGCAAUCCAAACCCAAGAAAGGAACUGCUACUGGCUGGCUACCAGCGGAUUUAGGAAAACAAAAUGAAAAAGAAUGUAUAUUUAGUACUUGUCUCAAUUUUGACUAAAUUUGAAUGCGUAUACACUAAGUUAUGUCUAGAUAUAUUUAAAUUUUGAUAAACUUGAGAUUUCUUUUAUUGAACGGACGAGGUAGUAGGAAUUAAAUUCCUCGGCGACCAAUCAAAAUUCCUUCUACAGUAUAUAUCUCGUUCCUAAUGCUAAUCUCCAAGCUAGCCAGGACGGGAGAAAUGGAAAGGGAUAUAAAACUGGCCGGCGUGUGCACAUGAUUCAACUGCCCGUGUCCAAUUCCAUUCUGUUCUAUAUAUUUACGUGUUAACUACUUAUACAGGGGGGCUUGCUUGCUCUAUCUAUGCAACAUAUACAGGAGUAGCUAGGAGAACACAAUUUUGUCUUUGUGUCUCUAGCUUGUCUGUCCGGGUGUGCGCCGCGCCCAUACCGGCGCCCCUCAUUUUUGUACCUUUUCUGUUUCCUUAGAAAAAAAAACUUGAGAAAUCUUGUAAUCUGAUUUGGGACUGCUUACCUCCCUGGGGAUUUUGGGGGCUACAAAAGCGUGUUGAAACCUUUUGAAAUCAAUAAAUCUCCAUGUGGUUUUCAAAGUUAAAUUCCUUGGAAAGCCUGUCAGGAGUUGUUGAAAUUUAAUUUCCUCGUCAAAAUUUGAGAAGGUUGUCCUAGUUUUUUAAAGCUAUCCAUAUAAAGCUCUACCCAAGAUGAUAAUUUUUUUUCGUUAAUUAACUGGACAACUAUAUUCCUCUUAAUUAAUAGAUGAAGUCCUUCGGUCUCCAGUUUGAAAAAAAUUUGAUAUUUUUCAAGUUCCUAAUUUCAGUGUCCGAAAUCUCAUACGGAUAUAAAGUCGAUGGUAGCUUGUUUUUAAUUUUGUGUAGCCAAGACAAAAAAAUAUCAGCUAUAACUAUAAGUCGGGACCAACUCUUACUCUCCACCCUUCUCCUUCGCUCGGAAAUUAUUAUUUUUCCGAAAAUCCUCCACGGAGCAAGCUGUAAAUCAACAGUAUAUACUUUUUCUUCAAAAUAAUUGUAGCCAUAUUAAUUUCUUGCUAAUUAUAACAAAGAAAAAGUCAUGGAGAAACGCGAAAUGAAUAUUCUGAUGCAUAUGAGUUAGUGGCAAUCCUAUAAGCGUGUAUAUAAAAGGAAUAUAUAUAUAUAUAUAUAUAUAUAUAUAUAUAUAUAUAUAUAUAUAUAUAUAUAUAUAUAAGGAAAAAUCGGAGUUCUCCUUGAGAAGAAAGUGGUGCAAGCUAGAAAAGGUGUGUAUAUACACAUCGGUCCGAAAAGAAGCUUUACAUAUAAAAUUAAGUGUGAGCGUAGAGGACUUUUGCACACAGACGCACUCUAGUCAGUCUUGCACGUAGUACAAGUAGCUUUUAGUGGGAAUCUGCUUUGGAAGAAUUUCAAAAAGCAUCCAUCCGUUCCGGGAAAGAAAUAAAGAAGAAAGAAAGAGUGUGGGACAUGCAGGAGGACUUGCAAAAUGAAAAGGCCUGCUGAUGAUACAAGGCACGUUACACGCUAGAAAACGGGCCAAAUGUAUGCAUGAAUGCUGGCCGCAAUAUGAGUGCACAUACAGAUAAUGUGUCCAUCUCGCGUUAAUUGAUUUUCUGCAUGACAUAGAGAUGGUACAAAAAUGUGUACGAAGGCGGAAGAAAAUUAAAUCAACAGCAAUAUAUUCUCCUCCCGAUCCAUAAUAAUAAAUGUCGCUGAUUUAGUAUAACUUUGUAUAAGUUAAGUUAACGAGGAAAUUUCUGCCUACUGAUCGAUAUAACACUGAUAACGAAAUAGUGAGUAUAUCUACAGAUGCGAUAGACAUGAUCGGUGAGCUAAGGGCAAUUCGGAAUGGGCGGCCGUGGCCGUACGUAUAUAUAGACAGAUCAUAGUCGAUCAGAUCUCUCUGCUCCAGAGAUGAGGAAGAGGGAUUGCAAACGAUGAUAGAAACAUAUAUACAUGAAUGGUUAAUUAAUUGAUGCGCCUUAUAGACGUAUAAUUAGGGAAGGUCGUUAAUUACUUACCGAUGCCAAUCUGGUGGGCGGUCUCAUCGUCCAGGAUGAUCUCAUGGUCGUCCUCCUCCUCCGUCAGGGACGCCAUUAUUAAUCUGAUCUCCUCCUCGAUCUUGAUUAUUUGAAUAGUUUUCCAGAAAGAUUCUCUCUAGCAGGACCUUUGAUUGAUCUCUAUGGGGCGCCGGCUCUCACAACUCAACUCGAUCCCCAUUGAUGCAUCAAGGAUGGAUGCAUUGUUUAAUUUUUCGCGGGUUUGGGUUUGGGAGAGAAAGAAAGAAGAAAAAAAGAUGAAGGAAUGCUGCAAAUGAAAAGGUCCGGGAAUGAAUAUAACCGGUCGUGGACUGGGUCAAGAUCAGGGAUCGAUGGAGAGGCAGAUUCAUAUGCAUGGAUGCAUGAAUUCAUUCAGAGGCCCUGCACUCUCUCUCACUCAGCCGCCCCAGCAUCCGGCCGGACAAGUAGCUAGGCCGGCCUAACCCUACCCUCAUUCAUCGGAGCCUAAGUGUUGUGCACUUACUUAGUUGCAUCACAUUCAUAUAUAUAUGCAUAUAUAAUCGAUCCAUCCAUAAUCCAUCCAUCCAUCCAUCACGUCUUGUUGUCGCCCAUUUCCUACGCAUCCCACGCCACGCCACCACGUGCAUUGCAUAUAUAUACUGAUCAUGACUGUGCUAGCUGAUCUAUAGCAAAAGCCUCUUAAAUCCCAUGUCUACACACACACGCACGCACGCAAUUAAUCAGAUCAGAUCAGAUCAGAUCAGAUCAUCUUAAUCUUAUCCGAGACCCAUCAACUAGCUAGGGGGCUUAGUUACCUUGUUCAUCUUGCAUUGCAUGCAUGUUUCACUAGUCAUAUGUACCUCGCAAAAAUAAUAAUAUUGUGGUGUCUAUUCUGUCCCCUAUCCAAAACCACCACUAAUCCUUACUCCUUUUUCUUUUUUCAUUUCAAACGGCACACCGCAAAACUAGGCCCAACCCACUACAGACCGCCUUGAGGCCCAACCAUAUCCCCCCAGGAGAGACAAGGCCGUUCUUUGGGACUCAGGAGUAUUAUAAGGCUGGGCCGAAAGUAACACCGGAGGCCUGUGAAGAAGCCCAGGCCCAACAGUAAGGCCGAGAAUCGAAGCCCACACGAUCUCUCUCCUUUCUCUUUCUCCUCAUCGGGUUGGGGAAUCGGGGAUUUCUUCUUCCUUCAUCUCUCUCUUCUGUCCUCUCGUCGCAGGAAUCCAAGCUUAGAGAGCUCUUCCCCUUGUCUCGUCGACGGCGAGGUGCAGGCGGGAUUCAUUCAAUCCUCCCAGCCAUGGCAGCGCCGGCGCCGGCGCAGCACAGGGAAGCUGAGGAGGAAGCGGAGGAGAUGGCGGGCGUGGUCAAGCUCAUCAGCGCCGAGGGUUUCGAGUUCUUCGUCGACAAGAAGGCCGCCAUGGUCUCCAACACCCUCAGGAACAUGCUCACCUCCCCUGGUUCGGUCCCUCACCCAUCCUCUCCUCGAUUCGAUUCCUCGUACGAUCCAUUGAUCCGACCGGCCGAUCUUGCUUCGAAGGUGGCUUUGCCGAGACGCGCGAGGGCGAGGUCAGGUUCCCGGAGAUCAGCACCGCCAUCCUCGAGAAGAUCUGCCAGUACUUCUACUGGUCGCUCCACUACUCUAGGUAAGCGAAUCCCUCUGAUUCACCUUUCCCCUCCUCCGCACACCCAGAUUAUUAUCCAUCGAAUAGUUUGUUUUGGGAGGAUCAGAUAGCUUAAUUGCUUAACCUAGCUAGUCCCUGUCAAUAUAUCAACCCCAAUUACAUGAUCUCUCUCUCGGUCACGAAACGAUAAAUUUGGAUGCCUGGGACAUGCACUUGUUUGUCCUUAACCAAAUCAAAAUCAUCCCCCUGAAUUUAUUUACCAAUUUAUCUUCAGAGUGUGCACUUUUGAAACCUUAAUAACAUCUGUAUGGUUAGACUACCAGUCCGUCUGCUAUUCCCCUGCUUAUCUGCUGUUCAUGUUCGCGGCACACUUGUUUUUUUGUUUAAUUUGCUAAAAGCCUAGUGUAUAAAUGUCCAGAAUUAAAGAAGGUGACAUAGAAGUUAUUUUCUCUCUGUGAUAAACUAAGGUCUUAUCUAUGUGAUUCUUUGACUAAGAUGAAGCAAAUCAAAUGUUUAUUAGUUUUCUUGUGAAAAGAAGGGAAUUUCAUUGUUCUAUGCUCUGUUUCAGAUGUUUGAGGAAAAUUCUCAUGUAGCAUUCAUUUAGACUACGAUAUUUAGGGGCGAACAUACUCCAAUGUAUUUCAACUUGCUUCUCCCUUCUAUGGUUCAUUAAACAUGUCCAGUGGUUAGAUCUUAUGAACCUUGGGAAUUUUAUCUUACUAGUUACGAUACUAAACCAGCAUUCAGUCCAUGAUUCUUCCUUACAAUUUCAGUGCUUUGUGGAAUAUAUCACACGACUUUGUAACAACAGAUAUCCAGGUCUUUACCAUCCUGGUAUCCACCUUACGCACACCAUGACUUGUCUUUCCUGUUUGUUUUUACGUUGCUUCUCCAUGCUUUUACCUUUCAUGUUUAGUUAGCAGGUUACUAGCCAUGCAUAUUUCGGAUUUAGAGGUGUUAUUGCUACUCUAAGCUAAAUAUGUCUUCUUGGAUAGUUUUGUGGUGGCAGAGCAAGAAUAUUAACUGUUUGUAACCUCAUGUGUCCUAGUCCUUGAACCUUCCUUAUUGCUUGCUGCUUUGAUGACCAACCUCUCCAUUCACGUGUUUAAUCAAUCAUUUUGAGUGAGAGUCAUUUUUGGUUCUGAAACAAGUGCAGCUGCUAUGCAUCAAUUGUGUGGAGUCACACCUUACACCAGUACACCAAUAAUGACAAACCAGCUACAAAUGCAGCUUCUACACCGAGCAACCAAUGGCAUACUGUCUAUACCACCUUAGCCACUGCUCUACUCCAGCACCAAUUGGAGUGAUCAACAUAUAACUGGACAGUAGUUCAUUCCAGAAACUGCAAGGGAGGGUAGCUUUGGUUUUGUGUUUUCCUUGGUUGUCGUGUUCUGUACUACAGGGUUUCUUCUUUAUAGAGUUGUACUGAGGGGUUCUUUAUAGAGGUAGGGGCUCACCAGAUCCAGAUUUACAUAGCUUGAAGAGAACAUAUUGGUUGACAGUGUUUUUAGGUUGAAGAAAUCACAUGCCAGGAGAAAAUAAAUUGUGCUCCAAUAUCGACCAACAGGCUAACAGUUGCUACUUCUUUUAUAUACAUAUAUAGUUAGUACAGAGAGUCAGAGAAUACAUAAUCCUUGAACUUGGUUCUCUGUUUAAAUCAGGUACUGAAGUAGUAGAUUCCCGUAUUAGAAUGCCUGACAAUUUUGCCACCCUGAAAAUAUGUACGAUUAAUGGACUAUGUAGCAGAAAAUCUACUGUGCGCUAUUAGUUUUGGCAAGGAAAGGAUGGAUUUAGUUGUUGUUGAUGAAAUCUAGCUUUGUUUUGUUUCUUUUGUAGUGGGAAGGAGACGGCCGAGUUCCCGAUCGAGCCAGAAAUAACCCUGGAGCUGAUGAUGGCCGCAAACUAUCUCGACACAUGACGAAUCUAUCCAUCGAUGCAUUUGUGUUUAGUAGAAAGGAAAAUGUGAUGAUGUUGCCUACCUUGUAUAAUUUUGAUUUGGGUCAAGUAAACAAUUAAGCUUGUUUGCGAUGGACACAGCACACGGCAGGUAUCUGUGGUGACUGACUGUCAACUUGCUUGCUCGCGAUCAGAUCUGGUCACUUGUAUGAUCAAUUGGACUGGAUUGGAUUAGGUCGCCAUCAGUUGCAGGGCCACAUGUUGCUUGUUUGUUUCUACUGCAUGCUAUAAGCUCUAGCAGACAGGAUCAGCUGGAAUGCACCUGUGUUGACCAGCCAGCGCAUACUUUGGCAGAACUAAAAGAACUUCAUUAAUUUGCAAAAUGCACGGGGAUUGGAUUGGGUGGCAACGGUUUGUUGGAUCGCCCUGGAGAUAAUGUUUUUUUAGGAAUUUUUAGGUUACAUAUACUUGGUUGGAAGAGAGAAAAUUGCGUUUGAACCUGUAAUGAAAAGGUUAGUAGUGCUUGUGUUUUGUUUUCUCCAAAGCUAAAACUGGUGGGAUAGUCUCUAUCCUAAGAAAUACUUAUGGUGCAACCACAUUGAUCCAAAUGGUAAAGAGAUAUGGACGUUUCCUUGAGGAAGAUUAUGGCUCACGUAUGGGCGUUGAUGUCGAAAGAUGUAUGGAUUGGGAAGAUGAUGUUAGCCCCAUAUGAAUAAACAGAUCCAACUAAACCAUACUCGAAAAAUCAAUUACACGCCAUCAGAUCAAUACCCUCCGUGUCAUCCUAACAUUUAGAUCCACUCUAAAGAAACCCUUAUUCAUCCAUCUUUCCAUAUUACUCUCUCUGUUUGGGUUUACAAGAUCUCUGCGUAUUUCCGUCGGUCAAAUUGAUGAUCUAAGAACGGUCGUGACUUUACAACAGAGAGAUGAAGGGGAAGGGCAGAAGAAGAUGGAUGUAGUAGUACUUUCUUUAGUUUAAGAUUAGUUGGUAAAGAAAGAGAAAGGAAAUGGAUCGGAAACGGAAACCCCACACACACGUGGACGCAUCUAGUCCCCACUCUACACUUUGAUAGUUGAUACAUACACAAACACAAAGCAGGCCAGGACAGAAGGCUUCGAUCCAAGGAGAAGGCAGAGGCUAGGCGGCCAGCGACAAGAAAAGAUUCCUUCUUUUCCCCCAUCCAUCCAACCCCUCCGUCGCCGGCCGGCGGCGAGCCCCCCACAAUGGCGGCCGCUUCCCCCCUCGACUCCGCCUGGGAGGUAUGUGUCCCCACUGAUCUCUUCUCCCAACCGUCUCUAUCUGUGUAUAUCUGACGGACGGAUCUCUGUGUCGCCGUCGCCGGCGACGAAUGCAGUGCCUGAUCGACAACUUCAGCGAGUUCCAGCUCGCCACCGUCGUCACCUUCCUUCUCCACGAGAGCGUCUUCUUCCUCUCCGGCAUCCCCUCCCUCCUCUUCGAGCGCUUCGGACUCUUCGCCAAGUACAAGAUCCAGGUCUGCCCCCCCGCCUGCAUCACACAUCCGUUGAUCUGAUGCAUUUAUGAUCUAUCUGGUCGAAUGUGUGCGUGUAUUGAUUUCGACAACACAAGAAUAAUUUCAUGGUGGAUGGGACAUCAGUCACCGAGAUAGUCAGAGAGGAAACAUAACCAGACCUUUCUCUGACCUAUCAUUGUGGAACUUCGCUUUUUUCUUCUUUCUCUAACGUGACAAGGAUGACAGUGUCAACAAGAAAGGGAGAUGCAUCUAACUUAUCUCAAAACUGACGUGGACCAAAUAAGAGUAGGAAACACUCCUUUUCAAUUUGCUUUCGUUGUCAUGUUUGAGAAACACCUUAUGCCUCCCGUCCAAAUCGAAUUGCCCGCCCCGAGACGACACGGAAAAUAAGGAAUGCGGAAGCACUUGGUCAGAUGGCUCACCUAAACUAAAAAGCUGGUUGCUUUUCACUGGAUGCGAUCAACACUGCUUGAAUCUUUGCAUAUCUCGACCGAUCUGUUAUAUAAAUUCCCGCCCGAGGUGACAAAUCCUUGGAACACAAAAAUGCUUUAAUGCUAACAGACAAAUGUCUAGGCUUGCAAGAAAUACGUGAAGACGUAGAUUUGUUCGAAUCCAGGAUCAAAUCUCUAUUGAGAAAAUCACAUAGUUAUAUGUUGCAGCUACUAGAUAUUAUACUAAUUGGACUACUGCUAUAGGAAACUCACACCACGCUUUCAGUAUUCAAUAUACUAAUUAGAUUACCGCUAAUAGGAAACGCACGCCACACUUUCAAUAAUCAAUAUAAAUGCCCUGCUGCAAAUUUAGAUAAUCUUUACUGUUCUUUUUGGCACUAAGAAAUAAUCCAAAUUGCAGGACCUACCGUGCAUGCUUUUAGAGUAAACCAGUUUUACAGUACAAUUUCUAAGAACAUUAGUUUUUUUUAUUUCUGUAUUAUAUUAUGUAUUGGAGAUAUAUGGUCCUGUUUUCUGUAUAACAUAGCGUACAUUUUCGUUGGAGUAAAUUUAUCCCAACAAGCUGAUUCUGGGUAUCAUCGAGUCAAUCUGAGCCUCCAUUUGCUUGUUUGGAGCAUGAAAUGUUUCUUGUCAGUGCCUUGUUUUUCUCUUUCUUUAUAAAGUAAAUCAUCCAUGUGAUUCUGUAAGAGAUCUUGUAAUGCUUAAGUUUGGUUUCAGUAAUGGAAGCAGUUUAUCCUCCUGGCUCUUAAAGAACAGACAUGUGAAUGGUCUUGUCCCAUUUUACCAUGCGCACCUUGCAAUUGUAUUACUCGAAUGGUUUGUGGCGCUUAUGCCAUGCUCUGGGUCUUGUUAUUGAUGUCCAUGUUAUCGAAUUUACUUUACUCCGAGCGAUCUAUCUCGUAGUGCUUGUUAUCGAUUUUGCUCCCAAUUCCUAGUUUUCUACUUUCCAGUGCGUGCCAGUUUAAUUUGCUCUUUAUUAUUUUCUGUUGUGAAAUAUUUGGUUCACUGGAACUAUUUAAUUCGGUGAAUAUUUGUGCGUACCUUGCUGCCAGCCUGCGAUACUUGGUUUCCUAAACAAGAAGUGUGCACAUAUUUGCAGAAGAAGAGCAACGCCCCUGCUUACCAGAACAGAUGUGUGCUGCGUCUCAUUCUAUACCAUGUCGGUGUGAAUUUGCCAGUCAUGAUUUUCUCCUAUCCCGCCUUUAAAUUCAUGGGGCUGAGAAGCUCUCUUCCUCUGCCACACUGGUAUUAAAUUUAAUUCCCUCUUUCUUCCUUUCAACAAAAGUAUCCCACCUACCAGUAUUCUUUCUUCUCAUCUAAGAAUGUCUCUUGAGGCAGAAGGAUAACCGAAAUGAAAGUUGUCUAAUCGCUAAUGCUAUCUAUGUGGCUAUGUUGAUGCAGGACGGUCAUUGUAUCUCAAAUUCUUUUCUAUUUUGUACUUGAGGAUUUCAUAUUCUAUUGGGGGCACAGGGCUCUGCAUACCAAAUGGCUAUACAAGCAUGUCCACAGUGUCCACCACGAGUAAGUGAUACUGCUUCACAACCUCUUAUUUUGACAUGCUAUAUCAGCUUGGGAUCAUUCUAAUUUUUAACACGAUAACCUGUGAGCAGAUAUGCUACACCAUUCGGCUUAACUUCGGAAUAUGCGCACCCUGCUGAAAUUUUGUUCCUGGGAUUCGCCACGAUUGUUGGCCCUGCCCUGACUGGCCCUCAUUUGAUCACUCUAUGGCUGUGGAUGGUGUUGAGGGUGUUGGAAACAGUUGAAGCUCACAGUGGGUAUCACUUCCCAUGGAGCCCAUCGAAUUUCCUUCCACUGUAUGGAGGGUAAGUGAGCGAGAAUUCGGAAAGGUGCAUUUUGUCCAUUCAGUAGGUUGCAUAUAACAGUGUUCUGAAUUUCUCCUUAUGGCCAGCUCUGACUUCCAUGACUACCAUCACCGUGUUCUCUUCACCAAGUCAGGAAACUAUGCGUCUACUUUUGUUUACAUGGACUGGUGAGUAUGUUUGUCUUCCAUUGUUGUGUUAUUUGUUGAACCAUGGCUUCUGCUAUGCAUGACAUGCAUCUCCUUCCUUCUUCUUGUGCUAGGUUGUUUGGCACGGAUAAAGGUUACCGCAAGAUAAAGGCCAUCGAAGGGGAAGAAGGGAAGCAUUUGUAAAUUGUGGAAGCUACUCUUUUCUCUCUUAGUCGACUUAUCGAAGCUAGUUUUUGAUCUGUUGUAUUGGUGAUAACAUUGCUCUGAUGGGACGAGACUGGCGGCAUCUUGAUCCAAGGCACAGGCAUCAUUUGAGGCCAUGGAUCCUACAUGUCGUGUCUUUCUUUCUCCCAUAUUUGCUAUCAUGAUAAGAUCAUGUAAUUUGUGGUGAAUUAAAUCUUUUGUGUGCUACUGGGGUUUGUUUGGAGACGUGGAUACACAUCCCAGAGCACAAGUACCUAUUUGAAGCAGCAACAACUUAUCAGAUUAGUUUUGCAAGUCAAGUAAAUAACUGAGAUGUGAUUUGUUGGUUAUGAGUACUGUUUAGUUGUGCCUCUCUUUUUUCUGUCACUUUCCCUUGUAAAUUCAUAUGGCAUUGAUUGCACCUUUCAAAGGAUGCAGAUGAAUACUGACCAUUGCCAUCAUUUUGAAGCACCUGAAUCUGACUGAAGAACAAAACAUGGUCUGCAUUGCAUUGCAGCUAGGGACAUCUGAUACAACAUCUGUUUACUUCAUAUAUGUUUGCUUUUCUCAUAGCUUGGCUGCUAUGGUGCGUCCGCCGUCGACGCAGAUGACCUGGCCGGUGAUGUAUCCGGCGCCGGGCAUGCAGAGGAAGGCGACGAGGGCGGCGACCUCAUGGGGCUUGCAGAAGCGGCGCAUGGGCACCCUUGCCGUCUCCAUCUCGGCGAGCCUCCGUGCCAUGUCCGGGUCUGUGGCGAGCGUGUUGGCGGAGAACUCGGUUUCGACGCCGCCAGGGGCGACGCAGUUGACACGGAUGCCUUGCGCCGCCCACUCUGCAGCGAGGCUCCUGGAGAGCUGGUGCAUUCCCCCCUUGGUGAGUGAGUAGACGGAGAGCGCCGGGUAGGCGAUGAAGCCGGUGACGGAGGACAUGUAGACGACCGAGGACGCCUUGGCAUGCCGGAGCAGCGGGUGCGCGAGCUGGGCGAGGUGGAAGCAGGGGUCGAGGUUGAUGGCCAUGAGGCGGGCGUAAUCGUCCGGCGUGGUUUCGGCGGCGGGCUUGUAGAGUGACUGGCCGGCGUUGUUGACGAGGAUGUGGAGGUCGCCGUGGAAGAGGCCGCGGACGGUGUCGACGAGGCUCUCCCUGUCUGCGCGAACCGAGACGUCGCAGACGGAGGCGGUGAUGUGGUGGAGGCCCUUGCUCUGCCAUUGCCGGCGGCAUCGGUCAAGGUCGGCGGCGUUGCGAGAGCAGGUGUGCACCCUGGCACCGAGGGCAGCUAGCUCCUCGACGAUGGCGUGGCCGAUCCCUUUGGUUCCUCCGGUGACCAGCGCCGUCUUGCCGGCCAGGCUCCACCGGAGCUUCUCUGAAGAAUCAUCCCUUGCCAUCGGUAUCAGCUAUAAUCAAGAUGGUUUUGGGUUCAGUCCACCUCCAGCAGCUAUGCAUGGUGGCUAAGCUAUAUACUCUGUUUGUGUGAUUGUCUUGUUGCAGAGCAUAUGCUUACCUAGGUAAGUUACUAUAGUUAGUUAGUAUUGGAUUCGCCACCCAACGUAUUUACACAGACAAGGAACAUAGAUAAUUUCUAGGCAGGGAUGGGUCCUUUUUGCUUUUAGUCUUCUGUUUGCUGGCCGAUGAAAUCUUUAAUUAAGAGUGUGCAUGCUUGUUGGUGAACGUCUAAGUUUGUAUUUCUUUCGAACAAAGAAAAAUAAGCCGCUCUACAAGAAAGUACUAUCAUUUUCGGUGCUGCGUACACACAGGAGAAAUUAAAAGAUAUUAACAUCUACUAUACCAAAUCAAUAACUAACUAAUUGUCUUGCUAGCUAUACAAUUUCUCUCAUAUUUAGGGUGUACUAAGCACAUAGAGAUGCAGAUGCUAGCAGCUCAAAGUCCCGUAAAAAAUUAAAAAAAAUCAAUAACUAAGCAGCUUUUUUAGCUUAUAGCCAAGGCCACAUGCAUACAAAUGACCAAGCAUCAGCAUCUGCGCUUGUUUUACGGAGUACACUUUCAUAGAUGCAUCAUGUGGGGCCAUAGAGAUAAACGUCCAUGCUGGCGCUUAAUUUGUCCAUUAAUUAUUAAUCAUUACUGUACAUGAAAUGGAACUGCCACAUUUCCAGCACAUGCAUGCAGAUCAGCCAGGCAGGCUAAUAACACAUGGCACAUGGGCAUGGAAUAAGAAUAAUUCGAUUCAAAACAGUAACACACGACAUAUAUGCCCCUGCCCCGGCCACAGUGCAAUGCUCUGCUUUUUUGGCCUUAUAUAUAGGCAACAGCUCCAUCUUGAUCCUUAAUUUGUCAUGUCCACAUUAAUUUGAGGGAGAGCAGUUGGGCUUGGGAUGGGCGAGCACGCUGGGAGUAAGAAGAGGCUUUGUUGGGCCGCCAACCGUGCAUGGUAGUAGGCAUUAUUCAUAUGGAUCAGUGUAGAGCCUGGCCAAUCAUGCAGGCGGAAGGAGGCCCAAUUGGGUUGUUUUCCUUUUCAAUGUCAACAUUAGAUCACCUGAAUGCCCUCAAAAAAAAAAAGAUCACCUGAAACCAAUGCGGUCUUCUUCAUCUAAAAAAAUAAAAUAAAAUGCGGUCUCAUUACCAGGCUUGGUAUGACUGAAACAGUCCAUGCAAGGAUACAGGCAGCUCAGUCCUCCAGGUUCCUCAAUCAAGCAGGCCGCUUGCUGCCUGUUAACUCAGGUUUUACUUCCUUUACCAACAUAAUACUAUGUGUACCAUACAGUUGCCCACAUGGGUCAUUGAGCAAAUUGACAGGCAAGGAAAGGUUGUCCCAGGAGAGGCCAAGAUGUAAGCAAAAAGAUGGAAACCUUGCAGCAAGGGACAUGGUAUGGAGGCUCGAAAGUAAUUAAUCUGAGAUUGCACAACAAUGCUCUUCUCCGUACACAAGUGCACAAAUUGCUGGAUGUUGACCAAACUUGCAUAACUUCCUAGUAAAUAAAAAUAUAUAUUAUGCAACCAAGGCAGGGCCGCACUGAACCAAAGCAUGAUACUACAAGUAGUACAUGUACAUUACAACUCCACCGGAUGAUAGGGGGCACAUGAACAUACUGAAAGAACGACCGAAAAAUAUAUCCGCUUUACAAAUGAAUUAGGAACAAUAAUGAAUGUACAAAAUUCUUGCAACACUUUCACUGCACGCUACAACGAAGCACUUUCAAUUCAGAUAAUACAAUCAAUAAGUGGAUUCCAAAUUGUGAACAGCAUAGAUAUAGCAACGAUAUAAAACACUGACCAUUAAAAAUUGACUGCUUAUAAUAUAAUUGCUUCAAUGCAAGCAGGCCACUUCAGAUAGUGAAAUAUUAUUGGUUUAACCAACUAUGCGCUCAGUAGCCAGACAAUAUUAUACCUGUUAAACUGCGAGCAACAAAUACAGUACAAAAAGCAGACAUGCACAAGUGACAUCAUACCGCAAAUGUCAAUUUAAGCUUACGAGUGCACUGCUUCUACUAGUUCAUCAAAGGGACAAAAUAAAAAACAAACACCAACAAACCAACAUUUUCAAGAAUGAAAAAUUCAGCCAGGGAUGCUCCCCAUCGCAGGUGUUUAUCAUCAAAAAAGCAAGCACUUGUAGUCUGUUCAAUAGGUAAGAAUGGUGAAGCCUGAAGAGUGACUCUAUCGUUUUAGGAUAUGGCAGAAUUACAAAAUACGGGUUAAUGAAAAAAAAUGUAAGAAUAAGUAUACGAUGGUUUUUUAGAGCAUCACCUUUUGUAACUUUGGCUGCUCUAUUAUACUAAUUGUUUCAAAUCUCUAAUAAAUAUGCAAUCCAGUUUUAAAUCCGUUCAAACUUCAAAGGGCUUCAUAGCGUCAGCAAAUGCAAAGCUAAACAAACCAAACAAUUAAAAGAAAAACAGUACUCAGACAUUCAGGCCAGCUUACAAAAUUUAGAGCUAGUAAUGAUAUAUGUCUUCAGUAUUUAGGCCUAGACUGCACUGUGCAGGUCAUUGACGACAUUGUACCAACUAGGUGUGACAACCAGAAAUCGUACCCCCGUAUGUAUUGCAACAAUACUGCAGAAUCGAGGUACCAUAAUAAAGCUCUAACUAAAUGAGAUUUGUGAAUCGAAGUAAGCAAUGUGGUGAAGUGUGUCCAAGGGGCUGCUUACUCAAAAGGAUAUUAUAUUUUCCAGGCAUGGCGAAGUAAGUCUCCGGAGUGGAUCAGAGACAAGAUAAACCUGUUUCCACUGGUUGCAGACUACAAGACUGCGAGUAGACUCGACGCAGCAAUCUUGUGACUCAGUUGUGUAUGUCGUCAUGGUGACAAGUUCGCACGUAUGAUCCUUCCACAUCAGUUCGGGAAUUGAUGCUGCAGGGGGGUCAUGGCUGCAACAUCUAAACGAGCAGAAACCAGGGUUGUCCGCAGGUUUACUGAGAGAAACAAAUCUGCGGGUGCUUAGAAGCUCCUCCUCCUCCCCCUUGGCAUCAUCACGGCCGGUCGAUAUCGGGAACUCUAGGAUUGACAAGGAUGGUGCGCUGCUGCAGACUGUGAUCUUGUAAGCGGUGAUUCGUCGGGUGGCGCUCGACAAGCCGAGGACGAGAAGGGGGCCGUGAGGGAUGGCGCCGCCGAUGAAGGGCAGGUCCUUAUCAUCCAAUUUGGCCCAUCGAUUCUUCGCCACGUCGAACAUGUGUGUGCCCGUCUGCUGCUCAGUUAUCGACGGCCUGUGGAUGCUGAUCUUCUCGGUUAUCGAGACCAGAAUGUAGGAGCCGGCCACGGCUACAUGGGACUUGAUUGUGAACUCCCGCGGGAAGAGGUAUGACCUUGGUGUGAGGUCCCAGGGGAAGAAGGGCGGCCGCGGCAGCUCCUCCCAUUGGCAGCCCACGAGACGGCCAUCUUCUCCCACCUGUGCUUGGGAGAGAUCGAGCAGCUCGAACCAGGGCACGAAAUUGACAUCCCCUAUCACGGCGGGUGUCCUUGCCAGGGCGUAGAUCUUGUCGCCGAGCGGCAGCAGGACCGGGUAGAGCUUGGUGGACAGAGGCUUGGGUCCCGGGAUCACGGCGCCUGUGUUGGUGUCGAAGACGACAGUCUCCGGGGCGUAGUCCGGGGCACGGUUGCCGCCGACGCCGACGAUCCACGGGCCGUGAAUCGACCGCACGGGGACGAACGACAUGCAGUGCUUGGCUUCCAGGCGGGCGAGGUGGGGCGGAAUCGGUGUCGGGGUGCCGCCGGAGCCGGCAUCAGCAGCGAAGGGGUGAACCUUGAUCACGGAGUAGGCAGGGCUAGUGACUCCAUGGCCUACCACUAGGUACACUGACGGCGAAGGAGAAUCCUUUGAGGACGCCUUCUCCGGCUCCAGCUUCGGCUUCUUCCUCCGCCGCGACAUCUCCGCGCACCGCCGCCGCGCAAGUUUUUUUUAUGGGAAGGUUGGUGAUUGGUUUUUUUUUUUUAGAAUGGUUGGUGAUUGGUUUGGAUGAGUGGUUCGGCUCAUCCGGAAAAAAAAACUUUUUCCAGCCAAGUCUGGUGUUUAUGGGCCUGAGGGCUAUUCUUUGCCCUCCCCCCCUCAUCAUAUGGACGCUAGCUAGGGUUUUUUUUCCUGCUAUCUCGCCGCCAGCCUCCUUCCCCCCGCCCCCGGCCGUACUCAGAAACAGGAGGAGAGAUGCCGAUGCCGGAGAAGAAGAUGAAGAGGAAGAGUAGUUCGAGUACCGCACCUCGGCUCAUUCGCGUUCGCCCAGCUGGGAGCAAGAAGAAGAUGCCUUGUAGCGAGGCUGCGCAGCCGGUGUACCUAGUUUUGGAGCACUGCGGAGACUCCAAGCCCUACUACACCGUCAUUGAGGCCGCCGGCGGCGCCGCCUCCCACACCAUCCAGAACCUCAGCGACGGCAUGUCCUUCGCCGCGGUGGAGUCGGCGCGGCACGGGCCCCGGAUCGUCGGCGUCGGCCUGCGAAGCGCCACUGUCUACAACCCCAAAACCUCCAGGGAGAUCGCCGCCCCCUUCCUUCCGGACCGCAAGCUGAACCCCGUCCUGAUCGCGCACGGCAGCAAGCUCUACGCGCUCUCCCGCGUCCCCUCCGUCGUCAGGGGCAUCGACUUCGACCCCUGGUUCUUCGUCCUCGACCUCGACGACAGUUACGCCACCACCGGGACCGUCAGGGGCACCAGUUGGCUUAGCCUGCCGCCGCCUCAACCCGCUCGAGUACCGCGACCCGCCCGAGUACCGCGUCGCGUCCUACGCCGUCGUCGGCUCCCACAUCCUGCUCUCCGCCUCCGUGCACCAGCAACCAGAUAAACAGGGUACAUGCGCCUUUGAUGUGGACGCCAAGGAAUGGCACAUGGUGGAUGACAAGAACCUGCCUUUCGUCGGCCAGGCCGUGCCCCUCGGCGACCGCCGCUUCCUCCUCCGCCAAGGCGAAAGGCGGCGCUCCGACGGUGUACUACAUGGAGAUGCAGGUGGUCUUUUCACCAGGAAGAAGCUCAUGCUGUACCAUUAUAGAGUUGGCGGUGGUAUCUGAGGGCAUGGUGCCGGGGCAGCUCUUGUGCGCCAUGGGGAACGGCUGUUUCGUUUCUUUCGACGUUGAUGAUCCCGAAACAGAUGAUGACAAGCGGCGGUGGCGGGACAAAGCACGCAUUGUUCAUCGCAUCUACUCUCAGGUUCUCGACGCCGAGACCAAAUCGGUUGUCACAGCGUUGCAGCAGGAGCACGUUUACAAACUGCGUGAUCCAUACCAUCAUUUGGAUCCUCCUACUCGUGUGGUUGCUGCGGUAACUAUAUAAGCAUGGAGCAGAACCAUCUAAGGUUGUUACAGUAAAAAACAUAUGUGAUGAAGCAAGUUAAUUAGACAGUACUUUCACCGAGAUGUGCUGCAGCAAAAUGCACCGAGUUGUGGCCACCUUGGAUGGUAUCUUCUUGCAUGUAGGCCUUCCUUCGUCUAUCUGUAAGCAUGGUGGAUGUCUGCAUGCUAGUGGAGUGCCAUGUGUUUGCUCAGCGUCUUAACUAUGAAUUGUAUUGCCACCGCACUGCCCAUCUAUUGGGACCGCGACGAGCGAGGUCCAUGAACUGGGCGUUGCCGGCGCUAAACACGUAGUACAGCGGUAGGCAUUCAUAUGGGCCGGUGUAGAGCCUACAGGCCCAUCAUGCAGGCAGAAGAAAAAUGCCCAAUUGGUUACUUGUUUGCCGUUUCUCUGAAAUUCGAGACCUUGUUAAUUGUUAUGCGUUAAGCACUUGCACUUCAGAAGAGUGCACUAACUCAGGCAAGCUGAUGAGGCUAAAUGCUGAUGGGCUAAUUUUAUUGUAGAAAUUUUCUCGUGUUCCCGCUAAAGGAAAUAAUUUUCUCGGGUUUAGGGAUUAGUUUUCGCUUGAAGAAAUAGUUUUCUAAGCUUUCAGAAACUUUACUGAGGAAUAAUGAAAAGUCAUGAAGAAUAAUUAUCUGCCAGACAAAACAAAUUAUAACAAAAGAGUUGUCCAAGUUAUUUUUAUUUAAUUUUGUGAUGAUAUGCAAUCGUGAAAUAUGCAACCUGAGAGCAUCUCUAGCAGAUACCGUAUAUCACCCUGAUCUCUUAUUGUUUCGGCAAAAAAAUAAUAAGACUCAAGCAGAUCCCGUAAAAUCGACCGGCCCAUUUUCCUUCUGGAUCCCCCUAAAAUCACCUGCUGCCACACUAUAUGUCCAGUUCCCCCGCGAGAUUUUUGGGUAACCUGCAUCUCCUAAUUAAAACACGUUUUGCAGGGCUGCAAUUUCAACUCGUGCUCUUUCGAUUCCACACCUGCCUCGUCCUCGAAACGAGCCGCCACGGGCUGCUCCUCUGGCCAUUGCAUAACUGAGAAGAUUCUAGAAUACUUAUAGAUAUUUACAAGAAGCCUUCGAGCUCCCUAGAAGGCUUGAGAGGUUGCAUGAAUGUUGAGAUAUUUGUCAUGUAAGCUCCUAGAGCAAUUUCACCACGGUAAGAUAGAAAUAUUCUGGAAAUCUCUUGGUACAUGAAGAGUAGUGCUAUUUACCAUGAAAGACACUGGUAGAGCAAUAUUUUGAUGGAAAAAAUAAGAAAUAUUUACACUAGGAUAUUUUGGUAGAGUAUUCUAGAGAAUAAAUAGUUGUCAUAUGAUGUUUAAGAUGAUGACACUUUGAAAGGGCAUUUCUAUCCCAUUAUUUGUUAAUGAUAACAUGAUAGUGGACUAAUAGUGUGCUAAGUAUUUCAGAUUCGAUAUCAAAUGGCAGCUUGUAUCCCUAAAUUUUGAAAAUAAAAUUAAAAUUGUUAUACUCACCUAUUUACACACCCAUCUAGUCGACCAUAUCGAUCUUUCACACUUGUCAUGCAUUAAAUGAUAUUGUAAAGUAUAAAUAGAGGUGUUGCCUCAUCACAUGAUGAGUAUUGUACCAAAAAGGUGUACCAAGCAUAAGAUGUUAGCUAUCAUGAGUGAGUUUAAAGUUAUGUUAGUAACGUAGAUAGUAAAAUUAGUGUUGUGACAAAGUUGUGAUAACAAAUAAAGUCUUCAAUUCUUCUCUACUAAGUGUGAUUUUUCAAUUAUUUUAAUGUGAAGUGGUUAUUAGGUUCCUCUACAAAAUAUGUACAUAUACAAUGAAGGUAGGAAAACGCGUGGGGUUUAUAUGCACUCAAAUCCACCGAACUACUCACUCAAAUACUAACAUGUGUCUUCUAAUUUUGCAGAAUUUAGCAUAUAAACUUAUCCCACUAAAAAAAUCGAAUUCAGUCUAAUAAAGGCAUAAUCAAAAUAAAAGAAACGAUCGAGAAUUACCCCAAACUCUUUCUUGCUCUUUAAAGAAAUCAUGUAAAGAAACGCUUUUUUAUUUGCCUUUUUGGAAAUCCUAAUUCUGAAAAUCAUGGCUUUACUCACAGGCAUUAAAGUAAACUACUUUCCGCAUGUAAGUAUGAUAUAUUUCCACGCCUUAUGAUCAUUAUGAAAUCAUGGCUUUACUCACAUGCAUUAAAGUACCAAUAUAUGUCUUCUUCUCUUGUUGAAUCACAUAAAUGUGGAUGUCUUUUUUCAUUGUUGCAGAAUGCAAAGGGCUUAAUCCAAACUACAACAGAAGACAAUUGUUAGUAUUUAAUAACAAGUCAAAUCAAGUAAUACAAAUGAAAAUGGUCAGAAACAAACCUAAAAAACACAUAGUUUGGGCCUUCUUUUUGUAACGUAUAACAUAACUUAGUUUCUAGUGGGACUUUAAUUACUACAAAUUCAGAAGCUUUAUCAUGACAUAAUUUGCAACAGUUUAUAUAUGCUUAAGCUGAAAAAUACACGGAGCUCAUCGUGUAUAGGUUUAGCCCGCGACAAUUUGUCAUUUAUAGUCGUAACACAAAAAACCACAUCAUACUAACAAACUUAGAGAUAAUAAAGCAACCUAACUAAGAGACAAGCUACAACUAGAAAUGUUCAUGUAUUCUAUCAAUCGUAAGUUUUCUUACUCCAUCUAAACACUUGAUGCAAUUAUAGGAAAAUAACCGGAACAUGUUUCCCCAUAUCCAUUUUGAAUUACACUUGAUACUAAUAUAUGUAAGAUAUAUUAGUAAGCUAUAGCAAAAUGCCGUGUCAUGUCAAGUCACCAUUGAAAAUCGCAACUUAUAAUUUCUGUAUAAAAACAUCACAAUUAACCUAGCUAGUCAAGGGCUCAAGGCCGAGAGGUAGCAAAUGUCCCAUCUCAUAUUGGAGCUUGCGACUUUUGCAGCCAAGUCAAUCACGUACGUAUUCAGGUCCACGAUCGAUUGGAUGACAUUAGACCUUCCAACAACAGAUCAUAGACAUUAAUUAUACGCUUAUAGGCUACAUCAUCCCACGGCAGAGGGGGGAGACUGUGUUGCCCGAGCUAUAUAUCGUGAUACAUCUAUUUAGUUAAUCUUGUAGUUUUAUGUUAAUUUCUAUUUAUACAAUUAUCGUAGAAAGAAAGGUAUUAGCCAGAGUGUUCAAUAUUAAAAUUAUUUUUUUCUUCAAAAAGGAGGUACGACCCCAGCCUCUUGAGAGAGAGAGAGAGUGAAGUAAUUUUUGUGGACCACGCGAUAUGUGCAAUUUCGAAUGCAAUCUAAGCUAGAUACAAAACAAAAGAACUAGCUAGUUCAUGAAGCUUCUUGAAAGUAAUUUUCUGGAUCGGUGGUGCUAUUUGAUCGAUCAGUCUAGAUGUUUCAAGCAUCUAGUCUAGAACUAGCUAGAAUGAAAGGAAAUUAAGAUGGAGUUUUUUUGGUCAUCGAUCAAUGUCGAUCGCUCCGGCAACGCAACGCAAUGGAGUAGCUAAAGAGCUAGCUAGCAGGGAAAGCUAGGACGAUGCAAUCCUCAGCGUGUGGCUCGUGGGAGACAUUGGAUCUCGUCCACACAAUUUAACAUCACCCAUCGCUUUGCUUGCAUUUCUUGAACUAGCUUAGCUACGCACACAUGCAUGCAUUCAGCUUCACAUAUAUCUCUCUGCAAGCAUGGGUUAGAGCCUAUAAACACAUGAAUUAGGACUUAAUCAUGGACAUUCUCUAGAAUAGUCGGGCACGGUCUAGGCUAGUCCAGUCGUGUUGGACGCUAGCUAUAGCUCCAUGGCCGUCCUCUGUUAUCUCUACUGCUCAGUGCAGCUAUAAAAGAGCGAGAUCGAUCGACAGCCAGCAGCUGCAUUGGUAUCAUCAGCUCGAUCGAUCAGUAGUGUGAUCUCAGAGCUCCCAUCGCGAUCGAGCAGCUAAGCUUAUAAUUAUUAAGCUCAGCUGAGCAAGAGAACUAACUGUAGAAAUUAAGUAAGCACCAGCUGAAGCGACGAGAAAACGACAGUACGUACUGUACGAUAUGGCUGCUGCUUUCUCGUCCACCCUUGGAGCACCGGUACGUAAUUAAUCACUUUCUCAGUUCUAGAACAAGUGACGUGAAUUUGUAUAAAAAUCUAUGCAAAUCCACGUAUAUAAAUCCACGUCACUUAUUUUGAGACGGAAGGAGUACUAGAGUUGCCAAGAAGUAAGGUAUUAAUCCAGUGGAUAUAACGUUAUGCAUAUAUAUGCUUCAUCGUCAACUAGAGCUAGCUUACUAGCUGCACUGUCGGUCAGUUUUAAUUACUUGCUUGUCAACAUUAAUUAAUUCUCCGAAUGAAAUGACCAAAGUGAUAGUAUAGUAUUUUAUUUACACUAUCUUUAUCAUGUCUCAUGAGUACUAUAUAUUCUGCGUUUUGUGCUAACCAAUUCAAUCUAAUGAUCAUGCUAUCUUAUUUGGAAAUGUGUGCAUAGGAAUUACCUUGAUGGCCUUUUUCGGUCUGGCCAGGAUCACGGCUCAAUCCACGGGUUCUUCCGGCCGCAAAUCCCGGAUGUACCAAAAUGGGCGUUUAGUUUUGGACUUUAAGGGCUUUUCCUGUACUAAUCUUGUCCUACCCUAGCCGAACCACAAGAAAAAAAAAUCAUGAAUCUCAACCACGUAAGGGCUUGUUUGGUUUGAGGGGGAUUGACAUGGAUCGGAACCAUGCCAUUCCAUGUUGUAACCAAACAAGGUCUAAAAGGGAUUGUGACCAAAUAAGGUCUAAAAGAACUUGACCCAAGGAGGUGGGAUCGUAUAUCCACAUAUUUAACUAAAUAGGUUUGAGCUUUUGUAGUAUUAUACUCCAUCCAUCGACUUGUAGUGGACAUGCAAAUAUUUUGAAAUUUAAAUUUCGCCAGUAAUUUGACCAAUAAUAUAUGUAAUUUGUAUUUCACAAAAUUAGAGCUACAUAUUAGUGAAAAACUUAACGGUGUAAUGUUUAUGCUGCAUAACCUACAUAUUGUUGGUGUAAUUGAUAAAUUUGAAAUACAUGGUCGUCCAAAGGAUGGAGUAGGACGUAUGACUGAGGAGAGCCAUUGGACCAACCAAUCAUUUUUAAGACGUCUCCAAAACCAAAUGAUGAUUAUAUGCUAAUUCCCUCAUAUAAAUUGCAUAUUAUCUGACCUAUUUUUUUAUAGCAAAAACAGUGUUACUAAUUUUAGUCUCCCGUUUGUUUUGUAUAAAAAGAGGGACCGGCGACAGUUGGAUGCUGCUUGAAAUGCUUACAUUGAUGAGUUAGGUCCACAUUGGUACCAAAUGCUGCCUUAGAAUAUGGGGAAAAAGUUUAAUUGUCGCAAAAUUUGCUUUCUAGUAGUAGGAUUUAUAUUAACGUCAGGUACGCAAUGAAGAACCAACUGUACUAAAUUAUAAUGUGCAUACAUAGAUAAUAUUUCUCUUAGUGUAACUAUCCAUCGACUGUGUGAUAAAAUAAUCAAUAAUGUGCACACACACAUAUGCAGGUAUCGACCCCAAGCAGCUUCCUUGGGAAGAAGCUGAAGAAGCAGAGCAACAACUGCUUCUCCAACAAUGGCGGCAGCAGCAAGACCAUCAAGAGCAGCAGGCCGUCGCUGGUCAGGGUCAUGGCGGCGGCGAAUAAGGACGUCGACGAAGGGAAGCAGACGGACGGCGACCGGUGGAGGGGGCUCGCCUACGACAUCUCCGACGACCAGCAGGACAUCACCCGUGGCAAAGGCAUCGUGGACGCCCUCUUCCAGGCCCCCAUGGGCGACGGCACCCACGAGGCCGUCCUCAGCUCCUACGAGUACAUCAGCCAGGGCCUCCGGCAGUACGACUUCGACAACACCAUGGACGGGCUCUACAUCGCCCCGGCUUUCAUGGACAAGCUCGUCGUGCACCUGGCCAAGAACUUCAUGACCCUGCCCAACAUCAAGGUCCCUCUGAUUCUGGGCAUCUGGGGUGGCAAGGGGCAGGGGAAAUCGUUCCAAUGUGAGCUUGUGUUUGCAAAGAUGGGGAUCAACCCGAUCAUGAUGAGUGCUGGGGAGCUCGAGAGCGGCAAUGCCGGUGAGCCGGCGAAGCUGAUCCGGCAGCGGUACCGGGAGGCGGCGGACAUUAUCAAGAAGGGCAAGAUGUGCUGUCUAUUCAUCAAUGAUCUCGAUGCCGGGGCCGGGAGGAUGGGUGGAACCACGCAGUACACGGUGAACAACCAGAUGGUGAACGCUACGCUGAUGAACAUCGCUGACGCGCCGACCAAUGUGCAACUUCCAGGGAUGUACAACAAGGAGGAGAACCCCCGGGUGCCGAUCAUAGUCACCGGCAACGACUUCUCCACCCUCUACGCGCCGCUCAUCCGAGACGGGCGCAUGGAGAAGUUCUACUGGGCGCCGACCCGCGAGGACCGCAUUGGCGUGUGCAAGGGCAUUUUCCGCACCGAUGGCGUCCCCGACGAGGCGGUGGUUAGGCUCGUCGACAUGUUCCCGGGGCAGAGCAUCGACUUCUUCGGCGCGCUGCGUGCCAGGGUUUACGAUGACGAGGUGCGGAAAUGGGUCGGGGAAAUCGGUGUGGAGAACAUUUCCAAGAGGCUGGUGAACUCGAAGGAGGGCCCGCCCAAGUUCGAGCAGCCGAAGAUGACAAUCAGUAAGCUCAUGGAGUAUGGGCACAUGCUUGUCCAGGAGCAGGAGAACGUGAAGAGGGUGCAGCUUGCAGACAAGUACCUCAGUGAGGCUGCACUGGGUGAAGCCAACGACGACGCCAUGAAGACCGGGUCCUUCUACGCCAAGGCCACUUGAUUCUAGUAAUUAAGAAUGCCGUCACUAUAUAUGCAUGUUUGGAAAAUUCCGUACCUUUUUUGAUUCAUCGCCGCACAGGUAAACGAUUUGAAUUGUAAGUUUCUGAAUACAAAGAAAUGGAAUUGUAUAUGUGAAUUACUUGUUGGAACAUUAUCAUAUAUCUGGAAAUCCUCUGAGGCUUUCUUGAUUAGGUACCGUGGGGGUCAUAUAAUUGGACAGAGAUUGUGAUGCAAACGGCUGGAUUAUUGUUUCAAGAAGAAAGAUCAAUGGUCUAUACUAAACCCAAAAAUCAAUUAAUGAGACUUCCAGGGAAAUUGAUCUUGGCAGCUCAUACAUCAAAGCAUUGCAGAAAUGACAUGCUUAGCUGUUUUUUCUCAAAAAAGUACAGACAUGGCUACCUUAAUUUUAUCUUUUCCAUACUGAUGUUUUACCAAAGAUGCAAUGUAUGGAUGUCAUGCAAGUUCUUUUAUUUUUGCGGUAAUAAUGCGAAGUAUGAAGCACAAACGUACAACACCCAUGUGCCUUGAUGUCAACAGGGGCCGACUUAACUUGUGUGGUACCAAUUGACAGCCCUAGCUUGAUGGUUAUCAACAAACCAGCAAAUAUAAGCCAGCAACAUAUUUUGUGGUACUCGAACUAGGAUCCAAUCUCGGGUGCCUCAUCCAACAAGCAACAUAAGAGUUCAUUUUUGUGUGGUUAUGGAAUAGAAGACCCCAGCUUUCGGCUAGCUGAUGAUCAACAAGACACACUAUCUAUACACCGUGAGUCCGGGUGAAAAGAAACAAAAAUGAAAGGCAAGGAAAGAAGAAAGGAUUCUGAUCAGAGAAUGGCUAGAUCCUGUGGCUGUGGAAUGUUAUAGGAUUCGAGCCAGGAGAUAUCAUAUAGCUGAGCUGCAAGCUGCAGCGUUUGGUCUUCACAGUCCAAGUCAUCCAAACCAGCGGGGGCCAAGAUGCACCCGGCCAGAACCCAAUCUCCAGUGUGUGGCCUGUGGGGGAUCAAGAAGCUGAUCCACAAGCACGGGUGUGUGUGUGCCACCUCCCAGCAGCCUCCCACAGCAACAAGAUGGAUAUCCACGUGUAUUUAAGGCAUCUCAUACCUCUGCCUCUAUACUUUGAGCAGCAGCAGCCAUUACUUGAUCAUCUGAAAAAUCUUAAUCCAGAUCAGACCAAGCAGAGCAGAGAUGUCUGCUACCUUCUCGUCCACCGUCGGAGCUCCGGUGCGUACCACACAUCGAUUCAUCGGUCCACAGCUAUCUUUUCUUAAUGGUAUCAUGUCUUCAAUGGCGUCUUGUGUUGUGUCUACAGGCUUCUACGCCAACCAGCUUCCUUGGGAAGAAGCUCAAGAAGCAGGUGACCUCGGCCGUGAACUACCAUGGCAAGAGCACCAAGGCCAACAGAUUCACAGUCAUGGCCAAGGAGGUGGACGAGUCAAAGCAGACUGACCAGGACAGGUGGAAGGGCCUCGCCUACGAUAUCUCCGACGACCAGCAGGACAUCACCAGGGGGAAGGGUAUCGUCGACUCGCUCUUCCAGGCGCCCAUGGGCGACGGUACCCACGUGGCCGUCCUCAGCUCCCAAGAGUACAUCAGCCAGGGCCUAAGGAAGUACGACUUCGACAACACCAUGGGAGGCUUCUACAUCGCCCCAGCCUUCAUGGACAAGCUCGUCGUCCACCUCUCCAAGAACUUCAUGACCCUGCCCAACAUCAAGGUACGCAGCCAGCACAUGAUCAAUUCAUGACUAUUUAAUUUAAUUUAUUAGCAGUAAUACAAUUGAACAAAGCUGUUUGUGAAGCUUUACUGUAAUUUGGGUGCUAACGAAUCGAAAAUUCAGGUGCCACUCAUCUUGGGUAUCUGGGGAGGCAAGGGUCAAGGAAAAUCCUUCCAAUGUGAGCUUGUCUUCGCCAAGAUGGGCAUCAAGUAAGAACUGUUUGAAGUUACUUUCAUCUAUUGUUAAUUGCCAGCAACACAAAUAUCAUGUCUGCACCCGAAUUAAGCAAGUAGUAACAGAUGAUGAUGUGUGCUUGCUACAGCCCAAUCAUGAUGAGUGCCGGAGAGCUGGAGAGCGGAAACGCCGGAGAGCCAGCCAAGCUGAUCAGGCAGCGGUACCGUGAGGCCGCAGACUUGAUCAAGAAGGGUAAGAUGUGCUGCCUCUUCAUCAACGAUCUCGACGCUGGUGCGGGUCGGAUGGGCGGGACCACCCAGUACACUGUCAACAACCAGAUGGUUAACGCCACCCUGAUGAACAUCGCGGAUGCCCCCACCAACGUGCAGCUCCCUGGGAUGUACAACAAGGAGGAAAACCCCCGUGUGCCCAUCAUCGUCACUGGUAACGAUUUCUCCACGCUCUACGCGCCACUCAUCCGUGACGGUCGUAUGGAGAAGUUCUACUGGGCCCCCACCCGCGAAGACCGUAUCGGUGUAUGCAGGGGUAUCUUCCAAACUGACAACAUCAGCGACGAGUCCGUCAUCAAGAUCGUAGACACCUUCCCAGGCCAAUCCAUCGGUACGUUCCCUGCACUCCACCGAUAAUAGUAUGCAUACAUCAAUGCAAGAGUAGUAAUUAACAAAGGAAAUGCUGAUCCCAAAACAGACUUUUUCGGAGCGCUGCGUGCCCGGGUGUACGACGAUGAGGUGCGCAAGUGGGUCAGCUCAACCGGAAUAGAGAACAUCGGCAAGAAGCUGGUGAACUCGAAGGAUGGACCGGUGUCCUUUGAGCAGCCAAAGAUGACAAUCGAGAAGCUCCUGGAGUACGGCCACAUGCUCGUCCAAGAGCAGGACAAUGUCAAGCGUGUGCAGCUUGCUGACAAGUACAUGAGCGAGGCUGCUCUGGGAGAUGCUAACUCAGAUGCCAUGAAGACUGGUUCCUUCUACGGUUAGAACACUCUUCAUACACACACCAUCUCUAGCUGCAUAGGAGGAGGUGAACUACAAUCUUUUUUUUUCUAUUUUCAGUAUCUACUUUACAUAUACUUCAAACUUGUGUACUUCCAAAAUAAAAGGGAGUGAAUUAUAAGCGACAGCGAGAAAUUAUUCUUACCUGUUCUUCUGGCACAUCAAGCUGAUCUUCUCAUUGCAUUGUGCAAAACAACUAAAUUUCAGGUAAAGGAGCACAACAAGGUAAUUUGCCCGUCCCAGAAGGUUGCACUGACCGGAAUGCCGAGAACUACGACCCAACAGCAAGGAGUGACGACGGCAGCUGCCUUUACACCUUUUAAGCAUGCCACUUUAAUUAUUCUGAUGUUUCACUCUUUGUACCUAAGUACCGCAUUGCAUCCAAGCAAUUGCUGGGCAUGAAAAGUUUUUGUUCAUAUAUAAAGAUAUUGAGUAUAUUCAUUUGGUGAACAGUAAUAUAUAUAACUACUUAUCCUUGCAGUAUUCAUUUCUUAAAUAAUUCUUAGUCUGACUCUGAUAAGUGAGGAAAGCUCCUGCUUGUUGGAAACAAAAUAGAAGUAACAAUUUGAGGUUCAGCUUGUUUAGGGUCGAGAGUUAGUGUCGCUGCUGUGCGAAUGCCAGCCCAGGAUUGAUCUCCCGUGGUCACAUCUCCGGGUGCCUCGUCUUUCUUAACUCGAUGAAGUGGCUUAAGGAGAUAGCAGAGAAAACAGAUAGUGGGGGGCGUCUGUAUAGGCAUAUACGAUUAAAGAGUGUACAGGGGCUUCUCCCCCUUAUAUCAUUCAGCUUCCGCUUGUUGUUGGACAAACAAAUGAAAGGAAAAUGGGGAGUCAAUUGCAAACAUAAAAUAGAUGCACUAUGUUAAUAUCAAACCUGCUGAUCCAACAUCCGAACUGAAAGACAAAUGAAAAGAAGCAGCUGGUUUUACCAAUGGCUCUGAAAAGCUACAUAUCCUCAAUACCUAUCUAGAUCAUGGGUGGUUCCGUAAGACCAAGAAGUGCGUGUGGCCAAGGUUGUCCACCAAUCGGUAUUUUGUGCCCUAUUGUUCAAAGCGGUCAUGGAAAGUUGCAUAUUUCAACAUCUUUGUCAAGCUGUGUAAUAGAAAAUCUAUGUGUUUGUGGUUGUGAACUGGGCAAGAUUGUUUACUAGCGCAACUGGGAAUACCAAUUCUUGUAAUUUUGAAGUCGCAUUCAGUAAAAUGUGAUGUUCGAAUUGUGAACUAAUCAAUGAGGAGAAGCAUAGGAAACUAGUAUAAAGCAAGUGUAUGCAGCUUUAAUCAUUUUGUGGACACAUGCAUAAUUUUUUUAAUGUUAUCUGUAUGUAAUAAAAGUGAGGUGACGUGAGUUACUUGUUCCAAUCACUUUGCCCAAUUUAGUUGUUGCUUAUCUUAUCACCGCAAAAGAUUUAUCACUGAGUUCUACUGUGGUGGCUAAAUAAACCAGUUUGUUCAAUCAAUCAACAACCUAAUUCAUCAGAACAUUUCUGAGACCCUUUUGGAGCGUACAAUUUUCAGUAAAUUAAGAAACAUGAGCUGCCGAAAUGUUUCGGAUCCAGUAGCUGAAACAUGUGUUUGGUGUUAUCCAAUCGAUCCAGACAACUCCAACGCAUAUCAAUGACACAGGACAAGGAAGUAAAUGGAAGGAGGGAUUACCGAACUAGAUUGCGUAGCAGUGUACUCCUCGCAAGCAAGAUAAAGUAGCAGCGGUUGGUCGCAGCAAUCGGCCUCCAUUCCCUCGACGAACAAAACACGGAAUACUGAUCAGGUAUUUCGACAAACACCUGGCAGGCAUAUCGGCGCGGUGAUGUGGUCAGAGAAACGAGGAAUCAGAAGGGGACGGAGGGAGAGCAUAUCUACAUGUAUGCUAGAUAACGGAAGCCGCGUGCGCCUGGCGCGGUGAACCUGGAAAAGCACGGCCACC
RNAcentral lists this long non-coding RNA (43757 nucleotides) under Brachypodium distachyon (stiff brome). RNAcentral's name for it is "long non-coding RNA (BDIS_LNC004271)". Lineage: Eukaryota; Viridiplantae; Streptophyta; Magnoliopsida; Poales; Poaceae. The record is from RNAcentral.